Passer domesticus (house sparrow) is the source of this 2064-nucleotide long non-coding RNA. RefSeq lists it as uncharacterized. NCBI's taxonomy places the organism in Eukaryota, Metazoa, Chordata, Aves, Passeriformes, Passeridae. The record is from RefSeq and is a predicted model, not a curated record. The transcript has 2 exons.
AGCUCCCCGGGAGCCGCAGCGCAGCCGCCGGCUCUGCGGAUCCCCAGAAAACCAACGGAGCUCCGGCCUUUGUCAGAGCUGCUUUGACAAUACACGUAGUUAGGGCUCCGUCCUGCGUUCCUGUGGCAAAGCCCUCUGAAGACAAAGGCGAUUUACAGUGCGACUUCCCAGUUUUGUCAUUUAAAAGGACUUUUUGUUAGUGAAGGUGACUGUAACAACAGAAAAGCCUUGAGAAUGCAGAAUUAUUUUCGCUAAUGAUGAACCAAGAUCUUGCUGUGCACACGGCUAGGUAAAAUAGACACUGAGAAUGCUUGACAAAAGCAGGUAUUUUUAGUUUUGAGGCUUUGCAAAGCUACAUAAGAGAUGCGUUAGCAUUAAAUCAUUUAACAAUUCAGCUGUUGACGGCAGAGUGGCAAAAGCAGCAAGCUCUGAUCUACUGUCCUUUCAAGCACAUUCAAAGGAGGCACAAGGAAGGGAGAGGUUUUGCUUUCCCUUUGAACUACCGCAAAUAUUCCUUUAAAUCUCAGAAAACGGCAUCUGAGCUGAGCGUGCUCAAAGCGCAGUGAUUUAAUCGCUGAAAUAUUUGACCGUAUCCCUUGCUGUGCAUUUCCAACUGGAAGAAGGAGAGAAGUAGCAGGGAGGCUGGUGAAUAAUUCAAGGAGACACAGAUCCUGCGUAAGCCAAAGUUCUGCGUGAGCCGGGAACACGAUUAUAGAGCAGUUUCAGUUUGUGCUGCAGAUGGCUCCUUAAUCUGGUUGCGUAACCGGGUAUUAGAGAUGAGGGUAGGUCCCACUGCCGCGACUGAAGGAAGGAUACAGUAACUGAAGCUGCACUGAGCGUAAAGCCACUGCAGCUAUCCACGAGGCACGUUUUAGUGAUUAGUGAGGGAGAGUUGGAAAAAAUACUGAACGCUGCUUUGUUAUCAGCCAAACUGAAGACUGUAUAAUACCUAGGUUUAAUUCCACGCUCUGCUGCUGAACAAUCUCAGGCAGCAAAGGUUUAACUCACUUUUUUAGUUUAUUGUGGUUUCAAACUUUCAAAACCUGUAAUAAUAUUAAGAUAAAAAUGAACAAAAACCCCAAUAACAAUCAUAGCAGAUGUUAAAAUCCGGGAAAAGUGGGACAAGGGUGAGUUCCAGGAAUUCUUCAGUGGAAAUCUGGGUCAUGAAUAGCAAUUUCUAGACUCUUGGACUAUGUCUUUUGAGGUCCUUUUGGUUUUUGUUUGUUUUUUUUUCAGAUGGAUUUGACCUCACUGUGAGCAUAAAAUAUGUCUAUCUGGGUCUGGCUGCUGUUGUUUGGUUUGAUGGAAAGAUCACUUGUGCAUUUUAAAUGUUUCUGAUCCUCUUUGUACAGUUUGGGAGCAGUUAAAAGCCUGAUUAUGUUACCCAGCCGUGCUUGCCAAGAUGCUAAUUUAUAAGCGUAAUUUCAAGUAAAGUAGUAUCAUAGUUUCAUGAUUAGGUCAUGAUAAGAGAGUCGUGGGACUUAGAAAGAUGGUUCUGUUUCUCCUGUAAGCUGCUCCUUUUCACACCUGUGCCUCUUUGUGCCCAUAAAAACAUUGCUGUGGCUGCACAGCAAACUCUAUUGGGUUACAACUAGGCUAGCAACAAGAAAAAUAGUUUAGAUUUAAUCCUGCUCUGCUUUCCUGCUCAGUUGCAGGGUGCCCCAGCACACAGGAUGGUGCAGUGGAAGGGCAGGAUUGUGACUGGAGAUGAUCACCUCAUUUGCCCAUGACACACAGCCUUGUCAACCCCCACUACUGUCAUUCCCAGAAGACUUUAGAGCUGCAGUGACAUAGGAAACAGAUUCUGCUGUCAGGUUCAGCCUCGUUUUAAGUUUCUAGCCCACACAACCACAGAAGGAAACAGUUCCUUAGACUGGACAGAGGUAUGAACAAAACAUUCUGGUUUGUCCAUAUCUGUAAGUCACCAUGGGUUGACAGGACUUCAUUCUGGCAGCAGCAAGCACCAGCAGCGACUGUCAAACACGACUGAUCAGAAGCUGGACUGUGACUACAACCUCUGUGGAUCUCCUCACUGGAUGUCACACCUCCAGGGCAAGAUGGAGU